CCUACGGGUGGCAGCAGUGAGGAAUAUUGGUCAAUGGGCGGAAGCCUGAACCAGCCAAGUCGCGUGAAGGAUGACGGCCCUAUGGGUUGUAAACUUCUUUUGUCAAGGAACAAAGUCCCGCCCGUGUGCCUGUUUGCGUGUACUGUAAGAAUAAGCAUCGGCUAACUCCGUGCCAGCAGCCGCGGUAAUACGGAGGAUCCGAGCGUUAUCCGGAUUUAUUGGGUUUAAAGGGUGCGUAGGCGGACUGUUAAGUCUGCGGUAAAAGCUCGGGGCUCACCCCCGGCGAGCCGUUGAAACUGGGUGUCGUGAGAGGGCGAGAGGUAUGCGGAAUGCGUAGUGUAGCGGUGAAAUGCUUAGAUAUCACGAAGAACUCCGAUUGCGAAGGAAGCGUAACGGCGGCGAACUGACGCUGAGGCACGAAAGCGUGGGUAUCGAACAGGAUUAGAGACCCUUGUAGUC
Molecule: ribosomal RNA, 459 nt
Filed under: uncultured bacterium
Lineage: Bacteria
Description: partial 16S ribosomal RNA
Rfam family: Bacterial small subunit ribosomal RNA
Source: RNAcentral